GGUUCAUUCAAAUUUCUGCCCUAUCAACUUUCGAUGGUAAGGUAUUGGCUUACCAUGGUUUCAACGGGUAACGGGGAAUUAGGGUUCGAUUCCGGAGAGGGAGCCUGAGAAACGGCUACCACAUCCAAGGAAGGCAGCAGGCGCGCAAAUUACCCAAUCCCGACCGGGGAGGUAGUGACAAUAAAUACUGAUACAGGGCUCUUUUGGGUCUUGUAAUUGGAAUGAGUACAAUUUAAACCUCUUACGAGGGAACAAUUGGAGGGCAAGUCUGGUGCCAGCAGCCGCGGUAAUUCCAGCUCCAAUAGCGUAUAUUAAAGUUGUUGCAGUUAAAAAGCUCGUAGUUG
RNAcentral lists this ribosomal RNA (344 nucleotides) under uncultured fungus. RNAcentral describes it as "SSU rRNA". It matches the Rfam family "Eukaryotic small subunit ribosomal RNA", at positions 292 to 636 of the family's 1831-position model. Lineage: Eukaryota; Fungi. The record is from RNAcentral.